This 484-nucleotide ribosomal RNA is filed under the name Pseudophasma menius. RNAcentral's name for it is "partial large subunit ribosomal RNA". It matches the Rfam family "Bacterial large subunit ribosomal RNA", at positions 1920 to 2618 of the family's 2925-position model. Lineage: Eukaryota; Metazoa; Arthropoda; Insecta; Phasmatodea; Pseudophasmatidae. The record is from RNAcentral.
UUAUUUAAUGGCCGCGGUAUUUUGACCGUGCAAAGGUAGCAUAAUCAUUAGUCUAUUAAUUGUGGACUUGCAUGAAUGGUUGGACGAAAUAUUGACUGUCUCAUAUUGAUAAUUAGAAUUUAAUUUUUUAGUCAAAAAGCUUAAAUUUUAUUGUAAGACGAGAAGACCCUGUAGAUCUUUAUUUCUUUAUGUUUCUUUUAUAUUUGGGUUGUAUUUUAAAGUUAUUUUUGGAUAUUUUGUUGGGGUGACAGGAGGAUAUGUUUAACUCCUUAUUUUUUAUACAUUUAUUUUUGAUUGUUUGACCUUUUAUUAUUGUUUUAAGAUUAAGAUACCUUAGGGAUAACAGCGUAAUUUUUUUUAAGAGUUCGUAUCGACAAGAAAGAUUGCGACCUCGAUGUUGGAUUAAGAAUAUUUUAAGGUGUAGGUGCUUUAGUUAAUAGGUCUGUUCGACCUUUAAAUUCUUACAUGAUCUGAGUCAAAAACC